CUGGCCCAUGUUGACUCUACAAGGUGUCCAAAGAGUUCCACAGGGAUGCUGGCUCAUGUUGACUCUACAAGGUGUCCAAAGCGUUCCACAGGGAUGCUGGCCCAUGUUGACUCUACAAGGUGUCCAAAGCGUUCCACAGGGAUGCUGGCCCCAUGUUGACUCUACAAGGUGUCUAAAGCGUUCCACAGGGAUGCUGGCCCAUGUUGACUCUACAAGGUGUCUAAAGCGUUCCACAGGGAUGCUGGCCCAUGUUGACUCUACAAGGUGUCGAAAGCGUUCCACAGGGAUGCUGGUCCAUGUUGACUCUACAAGGUGUUGAAAGCGUUCCACAGGGAUGCUGGCCCAUGUUGACUCUACAAGGUGUUGAAAGCGUUCCACAGGGAUGCUGGCCCAUGUUGACUCUACAAGGUGUCUAAAGCGUUCCACAGGGAUGCUGGCCCAUGUUGACUCUACAAGGUGUCCAAAGCGUUCCACAGGGAUGCUGGCCCAUGUUGACUCUACAAGGUGUUGAAAGCGUUCCACAGGGAUGCUGGCCCAUGUUGACUCUACAAGGUGUCCAAAGCAUUCCACAGGGAUGCUGGUCCAUGUUGACUCUACAAGGUGUCGAAAGCGUUCCACAGGGAUGCUGGUCCAUGUUGACUCUACAAGGUGUCGAAAGCGUUCCACAGGGAUGCUGGUCCAUGUUGACUCUACAAGGUGUCCAAAGCGUUCCACAGGGAUGCUGGUCCAUGUUGACUCUACAAGGUGUCGAAAGCGUUCCACAGGGAUGCUGGUCCAUGUUGACUCUACAAGGUGUCGAAAGCGUUCCACAGGGAUGCUGGUCCAUGUUGACUCUACAAGGUGUCCAAAGCAUUCCACAGGGAUGCUGGUCCAUGUUGACUCUACAAGGUGUCCAAAGCAUUCCACAGGGAUGCUGGUCCAUGUUGACUCUACAAGGUGUCCAAAGCGUUCCACAGGGAUGCUGGCCCAUGUUGACUCUACAAGGUGUCCAAAGCGUUCCACAGGGAUGCUGGCCCAUGUUGACUCUACAAGGUGUGGAAAGCGUUCCACAGGGAUGCUGGUCCAUGUUGACUCUACUAGGUGUUGAAAGCGUUCCACAGGGAUGCUGGUCCAUGUUGACUCUACAAGGUGUCCAAAGCAUUCCACAGGGAUGCUGGUCCAUGUUGACUCUACAAGGUGUCCAAAGCAUUCCACAGGGAUGCUGGUCCAUGUUGACUCUACAAGGUGUCCAAAGCGUUCCACAGGGUUGCUGGCCCCAUGUUGACUCUACAAGGUGUCCAAAGCGUUCCACAGGGAUGCUGAC
Molecule: RNA transcript, 1303 nt
Organism: Oncorhynchus keta (chum salmon)
Lineage: Eukaryota; Metazoa; Chordata; Actinopteri; Salmoniformes; Salmonidae
Exons: 6
Source: RefSeq, a predicted model, not a curated record